Non-coding RNA from Phrynosoma platyrhinos (Desert horned lizard), 72 nucleotides. The record is from the annotation of a GenBank genome assembly. NCBI's taxonomy places the organism in Eukaryota, Metazoa, Chordata, Lepidosauria, Squamata, Phrynosomatidae.
GCCAGAAUGGCAUAGUGGUUUGAGCAUUGGACUACAUCUCUGGAGAACAGGGUUCAAAUCCCGGCUCAGCCA